This 74-nucleotide transfer RNA is filed under the name Ruminococcus sp. Its description in RNAcentral is "tRNA-Pro". It matches the Rfam family "tRNA". From Rfam's summary of the family: Transfer RNA (tRNA) molecules are approximately 80 nucleotides in length. Their secondary structure includes four short double-helical elements and three loops (D, anti-codon, and T loops). Lineage: Bacteria; Bacillati; Bacillota; Clostridia; Eubacteriales; Oscillospiraceae. The record is from RNAcentral.
CGGGACAUAGCUCAGUUUGGUAGAGUGCCUGCUUUGGGAGCAGGAUGCCGCAGGUUCAAAUCCUGUUGUCCCGA